CCUACGGGUGGCAGCAGUGGGGAAUAUUGGACAAUGGGGGGAACCCUGAUCCAGCCAUGCCGCGUGUGUGAAGAAGGCCCGCGGGUUGUAAAGCACUUUCAGUGAGGAAGAACGCCUGGUGGUUAAUACCCAUCAGGAAAGACAUCACUCACAGAAGAAGCACCGGCUAACUCCGUGCCAGCAGCCGCGGUAAUACGGAGGGUGCGAGCGUUAAUCGGAAUUACUGGGCGUAAAGCGCGCGUAGGUGGCUUGAUAAGCCGGUUGUGAAAGCCCCGGGCUCAACCUGGGAACGGCAUCCGGAACUGUCAAGCUAGAGUGCAGGAGAGGAAGGUAGAAUUCCCGGUGUAGCGGUGAAAUGCGUAGAGAUCGGGAGGAAUACCAGUGGCGAAGGCGGCCUUCUGGACUGACACUGACACUGAGGUGCGAAAGCGUGGGUAGCAAACAGGAUUAGAUACCCGGGUAGUC
RNAcentral lists this ribosomal RNA (465 nucleotides) under Vreelandella stevensii. Its description in RNAcentral is "partial 16S ribosomal RNA". It matches the Rfam family "Bacterial small subunit ribosomal RNA", at positions 338 to 795 of the family's 1533-position model. The record is from RNAcentral. Lineage: Bacteria; Pseudomonadati; Pseudomonadota; Gammaproteobacteria; Oceanospirillales; Halomonadaceae.